GAGUUCCCAUCAUGGCACAGUGGUUAACAAAUCCGACUAGGAACCAUGAGGUUGUGGGUUUGAACCCUAGUCUCGCUCAGUGGGUUAAGGAUCCGGCGUUGCUGUGAGCUGUGGUGUAGGCCAGCAGCUACAGCUCCAAUUCGACCCCUAGCCUGGGAACCUCCAUAUGCUGCGGGAGCAGAGAGUGCGGCCCUAAGAAGACAAAAAAAAAAAAAAAAAAAAAAGAUUUAUUGCAGUCCUAUGCGUGGAAAACAGGUGUCUCAUGCUCCAAAGAACCCUUAACUCCCUGAAGGGUGGGUUUCAGUCAAGCUUUUUAAAUUUUUUUGGUUGCACCUGAGGCAUUUGGAAGUUCCCAGACCAGGUAUCAAACCUAUGCCACAGCAGAGACCCAAACCACUGCAAUGGCAGUGCCAGGUCCUUAACCUGUUGUUCCACAAGGAAACUUCAGCCAAGUAUUGUUAAAGACGAGGUGAGGGAAGGGCAUGGUUGGUUGCCUUACACUUCUUGGUGCAGGAAUCCUCUUCUUGCCACAGUCCACGUAGAUCUGGGCGUGAUGUUCCCGUAAAUCUCCAAUAAGACAAGUGUUCUUCUCUGUUCUGCAGCUUUUUUAUCUCUAUAUGAAUGGAAACGUGUUCUACCGUUAAAGAUCAGAGCCUCGAGAAUGGGCUAUCCUGUAUAGCUCACGCUAUCGGGAACAUUUUUAACUUAAAGCAAAAGCAACAGAAUGCAGAGAUUAAAGUAGAAGAAACAGAUCCGAUACAGAGUCAGAUGUGUUCUUCCCAUUACACCUGCAACCACCAUUCCACUUUCUAUCUCUCUGAAUUUGACUUUUUAGGGACCUCAUAUAAGUGAAAUCUACGGUCCUUGUCCUUUUGUGACUGGCUUAUUUCACUGAGCAUAAUGUCCUCACGGUUCAUGCAUGCUGUAUUCUCAACAGUUCUUAAGGUAAAAAAAUGGUGUCAAGAUUGCUAAAAUGAUGAUGGAAGGACCGAGGGAGCAGGGCGAAGGCAAGGCUGGGAGAAAUUUGGUCAGAGGGUGAGGGCUUUUUCUAACCAACUAGAAGCAGCCCUAAGACUGUACCCCACCCCUACAGAGCACCCCUGAAGGCUCAUUGCUCCCCAGCCUCCUCGGAGAGCCUGCUGACACCUCUGGGUCUCCCUGCCUCCGUCUUUCUGAGUGUGUAUGACAGUGGGAUUCAACAUCUAUGCCAUGAGACAUAGGUGUUUGCCUAAGUAUUCGUUUUCUAUUGGUACUGUAAUAAAUGACCACACAGCUUGUGGCUUAAAGCAGCACACAUGUAUUCAUCUUACAUGUUCCAAGUUAAUGUCCAACGUGAGUCUCGACAGGCAACCAUUAAGGUAUCAGCAGGGCUAUACCCCUGUUACCAAGUCCAAGUUCACACUGUUCGCGGCCCCAUGACGGGCCAGUAAAUCAAGAGCAAAGCUGUUGGGGCCGGAGGAAUGGCUUCGUCUGUAAAGCCAGAAGACCAAGGAGACAGUGGUCUCGCGUCCCCAAAAAAUCAUCUUCCCCAAGUUAGAAUUCAGGCUUUCGGAGUUCCCGCUUUCUUCCUCCCUCCCCCAUCCCUCUCUCCCUCCCCCCCUUCCUCUAUUCAUUUAUUUAUCUAUUGCUGUGGCGUGCACUGGCUCGAUGUAGGAUCUGCGUUCCCACAGGGACUGAACCCACGCUGCAGCAGUAAAAGAGCCAGAUCCUAACUACCGACAGCCAGGGAAGUCCCCAGAGUUCCUGGGCCAGGAAUCAAAGCCGUGCCACAGCAGAGACCCUAGCCACAGCAGUGACAAUGCUAGAUCCGUAACCAACUGUGCCACAAGGGAACUCCAGCCAAGCAUUUUUAAAGGCAAGGGGAGGAGUUCCCACUGUGGCUCAGUGGUAAUAAACCUAAUGGGUACCCAUGAGGACUCAGGCUUGAUCCCCAGCCUCGCUUAGUGGGUUGGGGGAUCCAGCGUUGCUGUGAGCCGUGGUGUAGGUCACAGAGGCGGCUCGGAUCCUGCGUUGCUGUGGCUGUGGUGUAGGCCGGCCAUUGCAACUCUGAUUCCCUCUCUAGCCUGGGAACCUCCGUGUGCAGCAGGUGUGCCCCUAAAAAGCAAAAUAAGUAAAUAAACAAAGAAAGGCAAGGUGAGGGAGGGGCGUGGCUGGUUGUGGCACACUUCUUGGUGUAAGGAACCCUGGUUCUUGCAGCUGUCCGCAUAGGUCGGGUCAUGAUGUACCUGUUAACCUCCAACAAGAUAAAUGUCCUUCUCUGUUCUGCAGCUCUUUGUCUCUAUAUGAAUGGAAAAGUGUUAUACCUUUAUUUUCUUUUAAUUUUGUCUUUGUAGGGCCGCACCCACAGCAUAUGGAGGUUCCCAAGCUAGGGGUCAAAUUGGAGCUGUAGCCACCGGCCUACACCUCAGCCACAGCAACACCAGAUCCAAACCUCAUCUGCGACCUACCGCAGCUCAUGGCAACACCGGAACCUUAACCCACGGAGCGAGGUCAGGAAUGGAACCUGCAUGGUUCCUAGUUGGAUUCGGUUGUACUGCGCCACGAUGGGAACUCCAACUGUUAUAUCCUUAAAGAUCAGAGCCUUGGGAAUGGGCUGUGCUGUGUAGUUCAGGCCAUAGGCAACAUUCUGUUAGUGAUCAGCUUAUAGCAAAAGCAAGAGAAUACAGACGUUAAAGAACUGUACCUAAUACAGAGGGACAUUUAUUCUUCCCUGUUUCAUCAUCCUUCCUGGGGCUGGCUUUCCAGGGACUUGGAAGAGAAUCCAUGGAGAUCCCUUCUAACUGACAGAGCAUCCUAAACUCUGAGUCAGGAAUCAGCCUGGGAGAGGCUGCAGUGACUUUGACAACCAGAAGAUAAAUGAUGUGUUGAGCUGAGACAGGUCUUAUAACGUAUGAGGCCCACAAAGUUGAAACAAAGUGAUGCAUCAAAAACACUAAGCUUUGUUUGUUUGUUUGUUUGUUUGUUUGCAGCGUUUCCGGGGAACCACAGGUAUGGAAGCAACUUGCUGGCACUCUGUCUGACUGAACUUCAGACAGGUAGGUGCCUUGAUGGACCUGAAUGACUGAUCAUGACCUCUGUGUCCCAUCCACCCCAUGUUCGCCACCGACCACCACCCCUCCGUUUGCACGUGGCACCCACGAAGAGGCAUGAAAGGCAGUCAGACCUGCCUGAGCAGAAAACUCCUGACACUUAACAUUCACUUUCCCCCUCUUCGUGCUCCCUGCUUCCAUGAUAAAGCCCCCACUCCAAAGCUGAUGAGCAGAUCCCAUCUCCUGGCCUGGCUGCAAGAAGUCUCUUUGCCCUGCAAACCAUCUUUGCCUGGUAUGUGGUCUUUCCAUUGGGUAGCAGGCAGUGGGUCCACUUGCUUCGUUACACAGUGACCCUGAGGCGGAUGGAAACAUAAACCCCAAGCAAAGGUGUACCCCCCUCAGCCAGCCCACCCAGGGGGGCUCUCUGGCUCCCCACAGCAUCCCCUCCCCGCACCUGCCAGCUUUCCUGCCAGGAACGCUCCUCAUUCACCACACACUCCGGCACCUGCUCAAGGAGUCCCCUCCCACCAGGAAGCUUGCUUCUUUCCUCCCUUCUGACUCUUCCUAACUCCGAAGCAUCCCGCAAGGACCAGCGGAGGUGUCUCCUGCUCAAGGAAGCCUUUCUCAAUGUCUCCUUGCCCCCAUCCAAGGGUAGGUGUCGUGCUUUGAGGACGUGGUGUAACACAGAAGAGCAAACCUGGCUCCAUAUUGAAUCUGUUCCCUUAGCUCUGACUUCUCUGCUCUACUGCCUGUGCUUAGUCGUGCUGCCUCUGUACCUUUUGUAAAAGAAUGUUGCCCAUUUGAUCCCUGGCCCUGGCCCGAUGGGUUAAGGAUCUUGCAUUGCCCCAGCAGCAGCUUAUGUCAAAACUGUGGCUUGGAUCUGAUCCAUGGCCCCGGGAACUCCAUAUGCCUCAGGGCAACCAAAAAAGAAAAAAGAAAAAGAAAAAAAUAAAGAAUGUUGCCCAUAGCACAUUCUUCUUCUUCUUCUUUUUUCUUUUUUUCUUUUUAUGGCUGCACCUUCUAUGUUAGAGGAAACGAAAGCUGGGGAACAGAGAGGGACCUGCCUGGUGUCCCCAGCAUGUCAUCAGAAGAGCCAAGUUAAGUCCCAGGGUGCUGGGCCCUCAUCCUGUCCGCUCUGUCUCAGGGCCACCAAGACCGUACCCUGUCAGGGUUCUCCAGACAUUCUUGCUCAUCUCUCUUUAUCCCCAAGUUCUGCCCAAAAGGAUUCUUUUUUUUUUCUUUUUUGGCUGCCCCUUGGAACAUGGAACUCCUGGGCCAGGGAUCAGAUCUGAGCUGCAGUCACAAUCCAGGGGCACCUAUGGUAAUGCAGGAGCCUUACCCCACUCUGCUGGGCUGGGGAUCUGACCCUCGUGUCCCAGUGCUCCCCAGAUGCCACUGAUCCCAAUUUGCCCCAGCGGGAGCGCCACACCCUCUGCUUUUACCUCCACAGCCUUGCAUGGAAUAUGCCUUUUUAUGCAUCCCCUUCUCCCACUUGUCUACGAGGUGAACUCCUACUUAUCCUUCAAGGUCCAUUCAAGUGUUUCCUUCCCUCGAAUGAAGUCUAAGCUCAGUUUAUCCAAAAGCUAUUCAUCGCUCCCUCCUCUGUGCUCUUAGGACACUCUCUCUAUGUAUAUACUGAUUUUAACACAUACUUCCUUCUUCCAUAAGUGUCUUAGCCCUCACUAGACUGUAUUUGUCUCUAGGACAGGAAUUAUUUCUGCCCCAUCUCUCUGUUCCUAGGGCCUUUCAAGGUGUCUGGCCCUCACGUGACACUCAAUAAUGUUGGCCAAACAGUGGAACAAAUAAAGGAAUCUGAGGCAGAUGUUUUUUAAGGGCCGCACCUGCAGCAUAUGGAGGUUCCCAGACCGGGGGUCAAACCAGAGCUGUUGUUGCCGGCCUACCCACAGCCACAGUAACACCUGGAGUUCCCGUCGUGGCGCAGUGGUUGACGAAUCUGACUGGGAACCAUGAGGUUGCGGGUUCGGUCCCUGCCCUUGCUCAGUGGGUUAACAAUCCGGCGAUGCCCUGAGCUGUGGUGUAGGUUGCAGAUGCGGCUCGGAUCCCGCGUUGCUGUGGCUCUGGUGUAGGCCAGCGGCUACAGCUCUGAUUGGACCCCUGGCCUGGGAACCUCCAUAUGCCGCGGAAGCGGCCCAAAGAAAUAGCAAAAAGACAAAAAAACAAAACAAAACAAAACAAAACAAAACAAAAACCCACCAGAUCCAAGCCUGUCUAUGACCUACACCACAACUCACGGCAACUCUGGAUCCUUAACCCACUGAGCCAGGCCGGGGAUCGAACCUGUGUCCUCAUGGAUACUAGUCAGAUUUGUUUCCGCUGAGCCACCACGGGAACUCUGAGGCAAAUUUUUAACCUCUCAGCGUCUUAGCUUAUUAUCCUUGAAAUGAAAAAGGGCGGGGGGAAUCUGACACUCGGCAAGGAUGAAUGAUGGAUGAUGAAUGGAAAGCUAAUGGCACCAUCACUGACUCAGUUGCCAGAGUCAAAAAUAGGGAAUUGCCCCCAAUUCCCACUUCUCGCUUUCUCUUUUUCCCUUGCACUCGGUCACCAGGGCUUGUUGAACCUGGCUGAGGAUCUUGGUAAGAAACUCUUAGGAAGGAUGGAGGAAAGGCUCCCAGACUUAGGGAUCCUCUAUGGAAAAGAAGCAGAGGGAGAGACUGGGGGACGUGGGAGGAGCAGACAAGGGAUCUAGGAGAAGGGGGAGGUCAGGCCUGGUUCUGGGACAUAGAAAUAGCUCAGUCUUGGAGUUCCCAUCGUGGCUCAGUGGUUAACGAAUCCGACUAGGAACCAUGAGGUUGUGGGUUCAAUCCCUGGCCUUGCUCAGUGGGUUAAGGAUCCGGCAUUGCCGUGAGCCAUGGUGUAGGUCAAAGAUAGGGCUUGGGAUCCCGUGUGGCUGUGGCUGUGGCUGUGGUGUAGGCCAGUGACUACAGCUCUGAUUCAACCCCUAGCCUGGGAACCUCCACGUGCCGUGGGUGUGGCCC
This 6025-nucleotide long non-coding RNA is filed under the name Sus scrofa (pig). Its description in RNAcentral is "lncRNA (ENSSSCG00060075324.1)". The record is from RNAcentral. Lineage: Eukaryota; Metazoa; Chordata; Mammalia; Artiodactyla; Suidae.